CCCUUAGAUGUUCUGGGCUGCACGCGCGCUACACUGAAGCUAUCAACACGUUUUCCCUCCCUGAGAGGGGCGGGUAACCUUUUGAAUCAGCUUCGUGGUAGGGAUCGGGGCUUGCAAUUGUUCCCCGUGAACCAGGAAUUCCUAGUAGACGCGAGUCAUAAGCUCGCAUCGAUUAAGUCCCUGCCCUUUGUACACACCGCCCGUCGCUACUACCGAUUGAACGUUUUAGUGAGGCAUUUGGACCGACGCAUCUCAGUUUAACCGCUGGUUUGUGUUGGAAAGACUUCCAAACUUGAGCGUUUAGAGGAAGUAAAAGUCGUAACA
RNAcentral lists this ribosomal RNA (324 nucleotides) under uncultured eukaryote. RNAcentral's name for it is "partial 18S ribosomal RNA". It matches the Rfam family "Eukaryotic small subunit ribosomal RNA", at positions 1470 to 1796 of the family's 1831-position model. The record is from RNAcentral.